GACGAACGCUGGCGGCGUGCUUAACACAUGCAAGUCGAACGGAAAGGCCCUGCUUUUGUGGGGUUCUCGAGUGGCGAACGGGUGAGUAACACGUGAGUAACCUGCCCUUGACUUUGGGAUAACUUCAGGAAACUGGGGCUAAUACCGGAUAGGAGCUCCUGCUGCAUGGUGGGGGUUGGAAAGUUUCGGCGGUUGGGGAUGGACUCCCGGCUUAUCAGCUUGUUGGUGGGGUAGUGGCUUACCAAUGCUUUGACGGGUAGCCGGCCUGAGAGGGUGACCGGCCACAUUGGGACUGAGAGACGGCCCAGACUCCUACGGGGGGCAGCAGUGGGGAAUAUUGCACAAUGGGGGGAAGCCUGAUGCAGCAACGCCGCGUGCGGGAUGACGGCCUUCGGGUUGUAAACCGAUUUCGCCUGUGACGAAGCGUGAGUGACGGUAAUGGGUAAAGAAGCACCGGCUAACUACGUG
Molecule: ribosomal RNA, 468 nt
Filed under: uncultured bacterium
Lineage: Bacteria
Description: partial 16S ribosomal RNA
Rfam family: Bacterial small subunit ribosomal RNA
Source: RNAcentral